This 420-nucleotide ribosomal RNA is filed under the name uncultured prokaryote. Its description in RNAcentral is "bacterial SSU rRNA". It matches the Rfam family "Bacterial small subunit ribosomal RNA", at positions 363 to 776 of the family's 1533-position model. RNAcentral also lists the same sequence under 1 other name. The record is from RNAcentral.
CUUCGGCAAUGGGCGAAAGCCUGACCGAGCAACGCCGCGUGAAUGAUGAAGGCCUUCGGGUUGUAAAAUUCUGUUAUAAGGGAAGAACGACUUUAGUAGGAAAUGGCUAAAGUGUGACGGUACCUUAUGAGAAAGCCACGGCUAACUACGUGCCAGCAGCCGCGGUAAUACGUAGGGGGCUAGUGUUAUCCGGAUUUACUGGGCGUAAAGGGUGCGUAGGUGGUUUCUUAAGUCAGGAGUGAAAGGCUACGGCUUAACCGUAGUAAGCUCUUGAAACUGGGAAACUUGAGUGCAGGAGAGGAAAGUGGAAUUCCUAGUGUAGCGGUGAAAUGCGUAGAUAUUAGGAGGAACACCAGUAGCGAAGGCGGCUUUCUGGACUGUAACUGACACUGAGGCACGAAAGCGUGGGGAGCAAACAGG